Molecule: ribosomal RNA, 465 nt
Filed under: Vreelandella stevensii
Lineage: Bacteria; Pseudomonadati; Pseudomonadota; Gammaproteobacteria; Oceanospirillales; Halomonadaceae
Description: partial 16S ribosomal RNA
Rfam family: Bacterial small subunit ribosomal RNA
Source: RNAcentral
CCUACGGGCGGCUGCAGUGGGGAAUAUUGGACAAUGGGCGAAAGCCUGAUCCAGCCAUGCCGCGUGUGUGAAGAAGGCCUUCGGGUUGUAAAGCACUUUCAGUGGGGAAGAAAGCCUUGGGGCUAAUACCCUCGAGGAAGGACAUCACCCACAGAAGAAGCACCGGCUAACUCCGUGCCAGCAGCCGCGGUAAUACGGAGGGUGCGAGCGUUAAUCGGAAUUACUGGGCGGAAAGCGCGCGUAGGCGGUCUGAUAAGCCGGUUGUGAAAGCCCCGGGCUCAACCUGGGAACGGCAUCCGGAACUGUCAGGCUAGAGUGCAGGAGAGGAAGGUAGAAUUCCCGGUGUAGCGGUGAAAUGCGUAGAGAUCGGGAGGAAUACCAGUGGCGAAGGCGGCCUUCUGGACUGACACUGACGCUGAGGUGCGAAAGCGUGGGUAGCAAACAGGAUUAGAUACCCCAGUAGUC